This 253-nucleotide ribosomal RNA is filed under the name uncultured bacterium. Its description in RNAcentral is "partial 16S ribosomal RNA". It matches the Rfam family "Bacterial small subunit ribosomal RNA", at positions 524 to 776 of the family's 1533-position model. The record is from RNAcentral.
UACGUAGGUGACAAGCGUUGUCCGGAUUUACUGGGCGUAAAGAGCGCGCAGGCGGUCGAUCAAGUCGAGUGUGAAAGCCCCCGGCUCAACUGGGGAGGGUCAUUCGAUACUGAUCGACUCGAAGGCAGGAGAGGGUAGUGGAAUUCCCGGUGUAGUGGUGAAAUGCGUAGAGAUCCGGAAGAACACCGGUGGCGAAGGCGGCCUGCUGGGCAGUAGCUGACGCUGAGGCGCGAAAGCGUGGGGAGCAAACAGG